ACUAGAGAGAAUGCAGCUUUAACACAGCAAGUACUUUGAAGUAUCUGGAGUACUUGUACUUGAGUAUUUCCUUGUACUCCUCCACAUCUCUGACAGUCUGAUGAGUUUCCAUGUUGACUCGCCUCUGUUUGUUUCCUCCUGCAGACUCUCAGCAGACGGAGUUCUCCUCCUAUCAGCUGACUGUCCCUCGACUAAUAGGAGGCCGGCUGAGGCGGGACGCGGGCGGCAGACCCCCCAAUCAGGUGUCUUAUGUCAUCAGUGUGGACGGAAACGAUCACGUCGUUCACCUGCAGAGAAACGGACUGCUGCUUCUCUGC
Molecule: long non-coding RNA, 317 nt
Organism: Anarrhichthys ocellatus (wolf-eel)
Lineage: Eukaryota; Metazoa; Chordata; Actinopteri; Perciformes; Anarhichadidae
Exons: 3
Source: RefSeq, a predicted model, not a curated record